Molecule: long non-coding RNA, 545 nt
Filed under: Nicotiana benthamiana
Lineage: Eukaryota; Viridiplantae; Streptophyta; Magnoliopsida; Solanales; Solanaceae
Description: long non-coding RNA (NBEN_LNC029245)
Source: RNAcentral
AAAAAGUAAGUCUUUUACAGAUUUUUGGCGAAUCAAAAUCUGUCCAAAGGUACUGGAUUUUCCUACUUAAAAGGGUCUCCUCUCACUCAUUUCAGGAACAUAAUCUAUCACACAACUGCUGGAUUUUUUAUACUUUAAGAAAACCCAACUUUAAGAGUAAAAUACAGCAGCUAAACAUAUCAAAUAGUAAUCUGAAAUCCAAGAAAGUGAGCUGAAAUUUGAGUGAUUUUGUGUGAGAUUUCUAGAAAAAAAAAACCCCUUUCAAGAAAUUAAAGUUAUUACAGUUAGUCCUGGGAUUCUUUCUUCUUUGAAUUUGUCGGUUCUCAAAUUGCUUCUGGGUCAUUUUCUUGGGCUGAAAUCUGCUGCUGAUUUGUUGUUAUUAGUGCUGAGACUGUUAGUCGCUAUAAACCAAAGUUCUUCACUGUUGGUUAACUUCUGCAUUUAUGUACUCUUCUAGUUCUCUUUCUUAAUGCAAUUUUAUUCAGCUGAACUAAAGUUAUGAAUGUGUUAAUCAUAUUUUAGAACUGCCUCACCAUAUUUGUCGG